Molecule: ribosomal RNA, 425 nt
Filed under: uncultured bacterium
Lineage: Bacteria
Description: partial 16S ribosomal RNA
Rfam family: Bacterial small subunit ribosomal RNA
Source: RNAcentral
GUGGGGAAUAUUGGACAAUGGGCGCAAGCCUGAUCCAGCCAUGCCGCGUGAGUGAUGAAGGCCCUAGGGUUGUAAAGCUCUUUCACCGGAGAAGAUAAUGACGGUAUCCGGAGAAGAAGCCCCGGCUAACUUCGUGCCGGCAGCCGCGGUAAUACGAAGGGGGCUAGCGUUGUUCGGAAUUACUGGGCGUAAAGCGCACGUAGGCGGACAUUUAAGUCAGGGGUGAAAUCCCGGGGCUCAACCCCGGAACUGCCUUUGAUACUGGGUGUCUGGAGUAUGGAAGAGGUAAGUGGAAUUCCGAGUGUAGAGGUGAAAUUCGUAGAUAUUCGGAGGAACACCAGUGGCGAAGGCGGCUUACUGGUCCAUUACUGACGCUGAGGUGCGAAAGCGUGGGGAGCAAACAGGAUUAGAAACCCCGGUAGUCC